GACGAACGCUGGCGGCGUGCUUAACACAUGCAAGUCGUACGGUAAGGCCCUUUCGGGGGUACACGAGUGGCGAACGGGUGAGUAACACGUGAGUAACCUGCCCACAACUUUGGGAUAACGCUAGGAAACUGGUGCUAAUACUGGAUAUGUGCUCCUGCUGCAUGGUGGGGGUUGGAAAGCUCCGGCGGUUGUGGAUGGACUCGCGGCCUAUCAGCUUGUUGGUGGGGUAGUGGCCUACCAAGGCGGCGACGGGUAGCCGGCCUGAGAGGGUGACCGGCCACAUUGGGACUGAGAUACGGCCCAGACUGCUACGGGAGGCAGCAGUGGGGAAUAUUGCACAAUGGGCGCAAGCCUGAUGCAGAAACGCCGCGUGCGGGAUGACGGCCUUCGGGUUGUAAAACGCUUUCAGCAGGGACGAAGCUUUUUGUGACGGUACCUGCAGAAGAAGCACCGGCUAACUACGUG
RNAcentral lists this ribosomal RNA (465 nucleotides) under uncultured bacterium. Its description in RNAcentral is "partial 16S ribosomal RNA". It matches the Rfam family "Bacterial small subunit ribosomal RNA", at positions 28 to 507 of the family's 1533-position model. The record is from RNAcentral.